CAGAGCCAAGGAAGCUGCACAGGGACAAGGGCUGAUGAUAUUGAAAGUUCAUAUGGAUCAGGUGAUUUCACUGUGAAAGGCUUCCUCCACAGACUGAGCAUCAUCAAUGACUGGGCAAAAUUCCACUGGGCUCUUCUAGACUUUUUCCAAGGACUAUUUCUGGAAACAAACUUCAACAUUCCCAGAAAGUCACAUGAAGAGUUCACACCGAGUCUCAGAGGAGCCAAUGAACAAAAUCUGGGACUAUAAAGACCAUGAAGUCCUUUGAAGAGUGACUAAGCGCAUUGUACACCGAGAUGCACAGGAGCCUGUAGAAACUAAGACAUUUGGAGCAGCAGGAUGCCAUUGAGAAGAGGUUGGGAAUGUUAAAGCUGGCUCUCAAGAGAUGUAUGAAUGUCCUGCCUCAAAAGUUGCUAUCAUAUGUGAGACAAGAUGGUGGUGGCAGGAACAGGAUUUCCCUUAACUGGACUUUGGAGUGCAUGACAGUUCUGACAUUGCAGAAAAUGCCUGGAUAUUUUUCCAUGAUGGAAAAGAAAGUUGGAAAGCUUAAGCAAAUUAUACGGGUCUGAGCAAGUUAUAUAAGAAGCCAUGUGAACCAAGCUCAUCCCAACAGCUGCCAAAGUGUCUGAAAGUAGAUCCUGGGUCCACCCUUCCCCAUCCCAGCCUUGGAUCUGCUGCUGCUAUGUGAAACGUUUCUGAAAACAGUGACC
Molecule: non-coding RNA, 710 nt
Filed under: Mus musculus (house mouse)
Lineage: Eukaryota; Metazoa; Chordata; Mammalia; Rodentia; Muridae
Source: RNAcentral